GACGAACGCUGGCGGCGUGCUUAACACAUGCAAGUCGAACGGAAAGGCCCUGCUUUUGUGGGGUGCUCGAGUGGCGAACGGGUGAGUAACACGUGAGUAACCUGCCCUUGACUUUGGGAUAACUUCAGGAAACUGGGGCUAAUACCGGAUAGGAGCUCCUGCUGCAUGGUGGGGGUUGGAAAGUUUCGGCGGUUGGGGAUGGACUCGCGGCUUAUCAGCUUGUUGGUGGGGUAGUGGCUUACCAAGGCUUUGACGGGUAGCCGGCCUGAGAGGGUGACCGGCCCCAUUGGGACUGGGGUACGGCCCCGACUCCUACGGGGGGCAGCAGUGGGGAAUAUUGCACAAUGGGCGGAAGCCUGAUGCAGCAACGCCGCGUGCGGGAUGACGGCCUUCGGGUUGUAAACCGCUUUCGCCUGUGACGAAGCGUGGGUGACGGUAAUGGGUAAAGAAGCACCGGCUAACUACGUG
This 468-nucleotide ribosomal RNA is filed under the name uncultured bacterium. Its description in RNAcentral is "partial 16S ribosomal RNA". It matches the Rfam family "Bacterial small subunit ribosomal RNA", at positions 28 to 507 of the family's 1533-position model. The record is from RNAcentral.